RNAcentral lists this ribosomal RNA (412 nucleotides) under uncultured bacterium. Its description in RNAcentral is "bacterial SSU rRNA". It matches the Rfam family "Bacterial small subunit ribosomal RNA", at positions 506 to 916 of the family's 1533-position model. The record is from RNAcentral.
GGCCAGCAGCCGCGGUAAAACGUAGGAGGCGAGCGUUAUCCGGAUUUACUGGGUGUAAAGCGCGUGCAGGCGGUUUGUUAAGAUGGGUGUGAAAGCUCCUGGCUCAACUGGGAGAGGUCGCUCAAGACUGGCAGACUCGAGAGCAGUAGGGGAAGGUGGAAUUCCGGGUGUAGUGGUGAAAUGCGUAGAUAUCCGGAGGAACACCAGUGGCGAAAGCGGCCUUCUGGACUGCAUCUGACGCUCAGACGCGAAAGCUAGGGUAGCAAACGGGAUUAGAGACCCCGGUAGUCCUAGCCGUAAACGAUGUGAACUUGGCGCCGGAUGGGUAAAACUAUUCGGUGCCGAAGCAAACGCGAUAAGUUCACCACCUGGGGACUACGGCCGCAAGGUUAAAACUCAAAUAAAUUGACGG